GGGUUUGAACACAGCUGUGUACCUGCAUGGACAGCAAAAGUCAUACAUAACUUACUUCCUUAAUGUCCCUUCAGUAUAGAGUAAUCCUACGUUCUUAUAGGACAAAUGAGGAAGUGGAGCAGACAGAUUGUUUGCUCACAGAAAGUCUAAUGCAAAGUAAACUGAACUUCCAUCCAGACCACCAAGACCAUAAUUCCCUCUGUUGCAGCAGAGUAACCUGGCUCCUCAUGGGAGAUGGAGGGGCUCACAGAGCAGUGGCUCUCGGAGGACACCAAGGCCUAGGUCUCCAGAAAGACCCAGUAAGCAGUCACAUAUUUAUCCCAGAGGAAGAACUGUGGGGCUGCAACCCCUUCAGCAGGCUGAAAAUACAGAAGGGACAAUAUUGCCACACUCAGACUGUGUGCUUACCACCAAAAAGGUGUGAAGGUUCACAAUAUCUUCUACAGUCAACUCAUCCUUCAGGAAAUAUAAAGGUCACACUCUAUCUGCAGUCCCUUAAUCCAUUAUCACCCCAUGCCAUCCCAUGGGGAAGCAGCCAUGACCCCAGUCAGGUUUCCCCCUGCCAUUAUGCAUCCUACCCUCAUUUAGCAGGCAUUGUCUGGUGUACUGAAACCUAUCAGAUGUAAUGCUCACUAAAAGCACCUCCAGUGGGACUACCAGAAAUGGCAUCACCUCUUGUCACUGUGUUCUUGGCACAGGCAGAGCUGGCUGAGUGUGUGCACUAACAACCAGGCUUUCCUGUGUGGAGCUUGACUGAGGUUUUACAUCAUUCAUGGGGUAUCAUUCUUCUAUUAGUAUCAUAGAAUCAUAGAAUCAUAGAAUCAUAGAAUGGUUUGAGUUGGAAAGGACCUUAAGAUCAUCUAGUUCCAACCCCCCUGCCAUGGGCAGGGAUGCCUCACACUAGACCAUGUCACCCAAGGCUCUGUCCAACCUGGCCUUGAAGUUCAUCUUCAUCAUUCAUGAUUUCAUACAGCCUGAAAUAUAAUCAAGUAUAUUCAUACUCGUGGUGUAUGAAUUCAGUAAAAUUUAAACCUAAAAUGAAA
Molecule: long non-coding RNA, 1043 nt
Filed under: Strigops habroptila (Kakapo)
Lineage: Eukaryota; Metazoa; Chordata; Aves; Psittaciformes; Psittacidae
Description: lncRNA (ENSSHBG00005016623.1)
Source: RNAcentral